AGUUAAUGAGCUUGAACAAGCGUAUGUUUUGAAAACAUAAUAUAGAAAUAUAAAUUUUCUAUUAACUU
RNAcentral lists this transfer RNA (68 nucleotides) under Nephrotoma quadrifaria. RNAcentral's name for it is "tRNA-Ser". Lineage: Eukaryota; Metazoa; Arthropoda; Insecta; Diptera; Tipulidae. The record is from RNAcentral.